UACCCCAUCAGAUCGACCCUAUUGAUCUUAUUAACCGUAAGCCAGUUUUGUCUGA
Molecule: small nucleolar RNA, 55 nt
Filed under: Erinaceus europaeus (western European hedgehog)
Lineage: Eukaryota; Metazoa; Chordata; Mammalia; Eulipotyphla; Erinaceidae
Description: Small nucleolar SNORD12/SNORD106 (ENSEEUG00000016984.1)
Source: RNAcentral